GACGAACGCUGGCGGCGUGCUUAACACAUGCAAGUCGAACGGAAAGGCCCUGCUUUUGUGGGUGCUCGAGUGGCGAACGGGUGAGUAACCCGUGAGCAACCUGCCCUUGACUUUGGGAUAACUUCAGGAAACUGGGGCUAAUACCGGAUAGGAGCUCCUGCUGCAUGGUGGGGGUUGGAACGUUUCGGCGGUUGGGGAUGGACUCGCGGCUUAUCAGCUUGGUGGUGGGGUAGUGGCUUACCAAGGCUUUGACGGGCAACCGGCCUGAUAGGGUGACCGGCCCCAUUGGCAAUGAGAUACGGCCCCGACUCCUCCCGGUGGAAGGGGUGUUGAAUACUGCACAAGGAUAGGAAUCCUGAUGCAGCAACGCAGGGCGUGGUAGCAAGGCGUGCGGAUUGUAGGCCGGUUACGGCGGUGACGAAUCGUGAGUGACGGUAAUGGGUAGAGAAGCACCGGCUAACUACGUG
This 467-nucleotide ribosomal RNA is filed under the name uncultured bacterium. Its description in RNAcentral is "partial 16S ribosomal RNA". It matches the Rfam family "Bacterial small subunit ribosomal RNA", at positions 28 to 507 of the family's 1533-position model. The record is from RNAcentral.